RNAcentral lists this ribosomal RNA (497 nucleotides) under uncultured bacterium. RNAcentral's name for it is "partial 16S ribosomal RNA". It matches the Rfam family "Bacterial small subunit ribosomal RNA", at positions 28 to 507 of the family's 1533-position model. The record is from RNAcentral.
GAUGAACGCUGGCGGCGUGCCUAAUACAUGCAAGUCGAGCGAACAGACGAGGAGCUUGCUCCUCUGACGUUAGCGGCGGACGGGUGAGUAACACGUGGAUAACCUACCUAUAAGACUGGGAUAACUUCGGGAAACCGGAGCUAAUACCGGAUAAUAUAUUGAACCGCAUGGUUCAAUAGUGAAAGACGGUUUUGCUUUCACUUAUAGAUGGAUCCGCGCCGCAUUAGCUAGUUGGUAAGGUAACGGCUUACCAAGGCAACGAUGCGUAGCCGACCUGAGAGGGUGAUCGGCCACACUGGAACUGAGACACGGUCCAGACUCCUACGGGAGACAGCAGUAGGGAAUCUUCCGCAAUGGGCGAAAGCCUGACGGAGCAACGCCGCGUGAGUGAUGAAGGUCUUCGGAUCGUAAAACUCUGUUAUUAGGGAAGAACAAAUGUGUAAGUAACUAUGCACGUCUUGACGGUACCUAAUCAGAAAGCCACGGCUAACUACGUG